GGCUUACCAUGCAAGUCGAGGGGCAGCAUUUCAGUUUGCUUGCAAACUGGAGAUGGCGACCGGCGCACGGGUGAGUAACACGUAUCCAACCUGCCGAUAACUCGGGGAUAGCCUUUCGAAAGAAAGAUUAAUACCCGAUGGCAUAAUCAGACCGCAUGGUCUUAUUAUUAAAGAAUUUCGGUUAUCGAUGGGGAUGCGUUCCAUUAGGCAGUUGGUGAGGUAACGGCUCACCAAACCUUCGAUGGAUAGGGGUUCUGAGAGGAAGGUCCCCCACAUUGGAACUGAGACACGGUCCAAACUCCUACGGGAGGCAGCAGUGAGGAAUAUUGGUCAAUGGGCGCAGGCCUGAACCAGCCAAGUAGCGUGAAGGAUGACUGCCCUAUGGGUUGUAAACUUCUUUUAUAUGGGAAUAAAGUUUUCCACGUGUGGAAUUUUGUAUGUACCAUAUGAAUAAGGAUCGGCUAACUCCGUGCCAGCAGCCGCGGUAAUACGGAGGAUCCGAGCGUUAUCCGGAUUUAUUGGGUUUAAAGGGAGCGUAGGUGGACAGUUAAGUCAGUUGUGAAAGUUUGCGGCUCAACCGUAAAAUUGCAGUUGAUACUGGCUGUCUUGAGUACAGUAGGGGUGGGCGGAAUUCGUGGUGUAGCGGUGAAAUGCUUAGAUAUCACGAAGAACUCCGAUUGCGAAGGCAGCUCACUGGACUGCAACUGACACUGAUGCUCGAAAGUGUGGGUAUCAAACAGGAUUAGAUACCCUGGUAGUCCACACAGUAAACGAUGAAUACUCGCUGUUUGCGAUAUACAGUAAGCGGCCAAGCGAAAGCAUUAAGUAUUCCACCUGGGGAGUACGCCGGCAACGGUGAAACUCAAAGGAAUUGACGG
This 878-nucleotide ribosomal RNA is filed under the name uncultured bacterium. RNAcentral's name for it is "bacterial SSU rRNA". It matches the Rfam family "Bacterial small subunit ribosomal RNA", at positions 45 to 916 of the family's 1533-position model. The record is from RNAcentral.